CAGCAGCCGCCGCGGUAAUACGUAGGGUGCAAGCGUUAAUCGGAAUUACUGGGCGUAAAGCGUGCGCAGGCGGUUAUGCAAGACAGAUGUGAAAUCCCCGGGCUCAACCUGGGAACUGCAUUUGUGACUGGCAAGCCAGAGUAUGGCAGAGGGGGGUGGAAUUCCGCGUGUAGCAGUGAAAUGCGUAGAUAUGCGGAGGAACACCGAUGGCGAAGGCAGCCCCCUGGGCCAAUACUGACGCUCAUGCACGAAAGCGUGGGGAGCAAACAGGAUUAGAUACCCCAGUAGUCCCUGUCUCUUAUAC
This 304-nucleotide ribosomal RNA is filed under the name uncultured bacterium. Its description in RNAcentral is "partial 16S ribosomal RNA". It matches the Rfam family "Bacterial small subunit ribosomal RNA", at positions 506 to 807 of the family's 1533-position model. The record is from RNAcentral.